CAACAGGGAUUCCCCUAGUAACGGCGAGUGAAGCGGGAACAGCUCAAAUUUGAAAUCUGGCCCUUGGGUCCGAGUUGUAAUUUGCAGAGGAUGCUUUUGGUGCGGUGCCUUCCGAGUUCCCUGGAACGGGACGCCUUAGAGGGUGAGAGCCCCGUACGGUUGGCCACCAAGCCUGUGUAAAGCUCCUUCGACGAGUCGAGUAGUUUGGGAAUGCUGCUCAAAAUGGGAGGUAUAUUUCUUCUAAAGCUAAAUACUGGCCAGAGACCGAUAGCGCACAAGUAGAGUGAUCGAAAGAUGAAAAGCACUUUGAAAAGAGGGUUAAAUAGCACGUGAAAUUGUUGAAAGGGAAGGAUUUAUGACCAGACUUUUUCUGGGGGGAUCAUCCGGUGUUCUCACCGGUGCACUUCCCCCAGUUGAGGCCAGCAUCGGUUUCUGCCGGGGGAUAAAAGCUUUGGGAAUGUGGCUCCUUCGGGAGUGUUAUAGCCCGUUGCAUAAUACCCUGGCGGGGACCGAGGUUCGCGCAUUGCAAGGAUGCUGGCGUAAUGGUUAUUAAUCACCCGUCUUGAAACACGGACCAAGGAGUCGAACAUUUGUGCGAGUGUUUGGGUGUUAAACCCUCACGCGUAAUGAAAGUGAACGGAGGUGAGAGCCUUUAGGGGUGCAUCAUCGACCGAUCCUGAUGUCUUCGGAUGGAUUUGAGUAAGAGCAUAACUGUUCGGACCCGAAAGAUGGUGAACUAUGCGUGGAUAGGGUGAAGCCAGAGGAAACUCUGGUGGAGGCUCGCAGCGGUUCUGACGUGCAAAUCGAUCGUCAAAUCUGCGCAUGGGGGCGAAAGACUAAUCGAACCAUCUAGU
This 854-nucleotide ribosomal RNA is filed under the name Apiospora arundinis. Its description in RNAcentral is "eukaryotic LSU rRNA". It matches the Rfam family "Eukaryotic large subunit ribosomal RNA", at positions 66 to 948 of the family's 3401-position model. Lineage: Eukaryota; Fungi; Ascomycota; Sordariomycetes; Amphisphaeriales; Apiosporaceae. The record is from RNAcentral.